RNAcentral lists this unclassified non-coding RNA (348 nucleotides) under Hevea brasiliensis (rubber tree). The record is from RNAcentral. Lineage: Eukaryota; Viridiplantae; Streptophyta; Magnoliopsida; Malpighiales; Euphorbiaceae.
GCAAUCUUAUGGUAAAAUUCAGAACAAUAUCCACCAAAUGAUUUAGAUAUCCAAGUGCGGAAUCUUACCUCCCAACCACACCCUUAUCAGAUAUCAGCCCCUCGACUCUUCCAAGUUCAUCAAGGGUCUCAAGAAUCUGCCUCUGUUUCUAAUGGAUUCGAGUUAAUUUUCAAGAUCUUGUUCUUGGGACAAAUCACCUUAUAUAGGAUUGGGGUUAGCCCAGCAUUGGGUUCCCUCUGCAAAGAAUUCCAGUUACAUCUCUAAGAAUACCAGCUACUUCCCUCAUUGCUUGCAAUAGUUGCAGCUGUUGUUUGGUGUUGCUUCUGGUGAGCUUUUCUUCUCUCGCCA